CGUAGGUGGCAAGCGUUGUCCGGAUUUAUGGGUUUAAAGGGUGCGUAGGCGGUCUUGUAAGUCAGUAGUGAAAUACGGCAGCUUAACUGUCGAGGUGCCAUUGAUACUGCAGGACUUGAGUACAGACGAGGUAGGCGGAAUUGACGGUGUAGCGGUGAAAUGCUUAGAUAUCGUCAAGAACACCGAUAGCGAAGGCAGCUUACUAGACUGUAACUGACGCUGAUGCACGAAAGUGUGGGGAUCAAACAGGAUUAGAUACCCUGGUAGUCCACACUGUAAACGAUGAUUACUCGAUGUUGGCGAUACACAGUCAGCGUCUUAGCGAAAGCGAUAAGUAAUCCACCUGGGGAGUACGCCGGCAACGGUG
This 367-nucleotide ribosomal RNA is filed under the name uncultured organism. RNAcentral's name for it is "bacterial SSU rRNA". It matches the Rfam family "Bacterial small subunit ribosomal RNA", at positions 526 to 896 of the family's 1533-position model. The record is from RNAcentral.